RNAcentral lists this long non-coding RNA (12215 nucleotides) under Setaria viridis. Its description in RNAcentral is "long non-coding RNA (SVIR_LNC006146)". The record is from RNAcentral. Lineage: Eukaryota; Viridiplantae; Streptophyta; Magnoliopsida; Poales; Poaceae.
AUAGAAGAGCUUUUUGGGUAAUCAUGUAAGUAGUGUAACUAUAAUCAUGGUGUAAGAGGGGGGGGGGUGAAUGGGAUGUGGACUUCUCAUUUGGUUUGUGAGAGCCUUUAUGGGAGAGAGAGAGGGAGAGAGAGAUGAGGUAUCUUUGAUUUGAUCUUUCUGCUAUCUUAACUUUGUUUGUGCCUAAGAGUGCCUUGUAACUGCAUAUGGUGGAGUAAUCCAAGAAUCACUUUUUUGCUCAAUUGAUUCUCCAUCUCAAGAUCUGAGUUUUAUCUUUUUCAGGAUUUUUGGGGAUUUUUUGUUCUUCGCGUGUUGCUGCAAAAUCCGAGAUUUGUUGGAGGCUUUGGUUGCUAGGACCCUUGUGAGAAACUUUGAAGUGUUUCCCUCUUCCAAUCCCUCUCGGAUUUGGCUCGAUUAGGUUUUUCCUAAAACUCAUCUCUUGUGUUCUUGGCCAAGUAUAUGAAAUUCAUGGUGAAAUCUUGAUCUUUUUGUAGAGAUCUUUUGGACAAAAAUUCACCGUGUAUAUGUGAAGCUACAACUAUAGUUUUGUUCGCUUUGGAUCCCGUUUGACUCAUUUUUCAGGUUUGAGUUCAUGGAGUUUUCUUGAGCUCUUUGUGCCCCUCUCCAAAUCCUUUGAAUCUGGUGACCAAUUCUUGGGCUUUUUGAAGUGAGCCUUUAGGAAUAGCCUUGGUAUGUUGUUGUGAGCCUACGAUUCAAAUUUCGUGAUUUUUGGAGGUCGUUUGAUUGAGUUUCGGAUUUUUCCAACUUCUUCACGCAGGCUGUUUUUGGAGUUGCGGAAAAUUCCGGAGGUUUUUACGGAUUCUCCGGAGAAUUUUCCAGAACCUCCGUAGAUCGGAUUCUCCGGAGAGUUUUGCAAAGUUUUCGUACUUUUUUUGUUGGUUUUUGAAUCUGUUCUUUCAAUAUUUGUUUGAGUUCAUUCUUGCUUCCGUUAGUCUCUAAAUUAGUUUGUAGCACCAUUCCUAGGUCCAUUAGCUCUUGCAUAGCUAAGAGGAUUUGAUAUUGCUAGAAGAGAGGUUUGUGGAUUGGUUUGGGAUUCAAGCUGAGGUUCUUUGAAGAAAUUUGAAUUGGCUCCCAUUAACCCCACCUCUGAUCACCCAGCCCAAUUCUUCAAUUGGUAGCAGAGCUUGGUUUAGGAUCACACAACCUUAAUCGAUUUUGUGAUCCACGGGGUGACAAGGUAAAUGGUGUUUUUGCUUGCAGAUUUGAUUUUUGAGAUUCGAGCUUAUUUUUGGCUAAUCCUAACCGAUGCUUUGAGAUAUGACAUCAAACUUUUCUUCUUAUGUUUCAUUAUCCUUAGAUAGUCGAUGCUAUCAUAAACGGUAAACGGUAAACAGUCAGUCACUCUUUGUUUCGCGUUUAGACGGCGUUUAGACGGUCUAAACGAUUUUGUAUAUUUCCAACAAAAAACACAUAUUUUGCAUGUAAAAAUCCAAGUAUUCUAACAAUCAAUAUUUAUAUACAUUCCUGAUUCCUCACACCACAUUCAUAUGAGACAUGAAAACUGAGACAAGCCUAAUAAUUCAUAAUUGAUACACAAAUAAAUAGAUAAUAGUUCUUACAUAAGUGCAUUGAUUCUCCACCUUUCACAUCACCAGUCAAUCACUUAGUCCACAGUUUACAACAAAAGCAUACAAUUCUCAGUUUCACAAAUGAGAUGACAAGUCAAAUGAAAAUGACACAACACAUGAUCAAAUUCAACAGUUCAUAAGUAAAAGCAUUGAAGAGAUCUGCGAGACAUGCAUGACUAAUUGACUAGUCAUCAUCAUCAACAUCUCUCAUUUGGAAAUCAUCAUCAUCAACAUCUCUCAUUUGGGCCAGCCUUGCACUCCUACGAAGAUUCGCACAUUCUUCAACCCCAUAAGUCUCUUCAAUCAAUUUCCAUGUGAGCCCACAUACAAGCUCAGCAUCCUCUUCAUCUCCUCCUUCAAUAAACCAUUCUUGAGCAUGAUUUGCUUCAGUAGACAGAAGAGGAUUCAUUUUCUGGUUCUUCUUAGCUUUCAUUUUUUUCCCAUUUAUCUUGUUAUUGUACUGAAAAAAAUAAGUUGGUUGAGACGCUCACAUGUCGGCUUGUUUCUUUUUUUUAUGAAUCUACAAAGAGUCAUAUAAAAAAUUAAGUUUAGUCUACAAUUUUACCAACCUGAAAUGACAAGUUAUAUAAAACAUAAUUAGAGAGAAGGGAUAAGUUGGGAGGAUUACAUCUUCAAAUCUCUAGUUCCUUCCACAACUUGAAGAACUUGAAGUUAAGGAUAAAAUCCUCAUCGCCAUCCUUUGCAAAGUCAGAACCUGUGUUCCAUAACUGCCCCACCAAUUUGCUGCAAUGGAGGACUACAUGAGCAGUAGAUAGAUGCUAUGUACAGAACAAAGACAGUGUACAGAACAUGACAUACAUAUAUCUCAAUUUAUUUACCAAUUUGCAAUCUCUAAAAUAAUGUAAAGCUAGAAAAAUGAAUUACUUGAGCUAAAAUCAUAUUUCUUGCAGCUAGCCUUUGCUACAGGUUUUCCAAAGUGUUCUUGUUUAUCUCUGAACUUGUGGAGUUCCUCAUUGAGCACUUUUCUUUGCUUGUCAUAGUCACCAUGGUAAAAGAUCUCAACAGCAGUGAUGAAUCCUUCCAUGACCUGCUCACUUGUGAAGAUGGAAUCAUCAUUGUAGCUAUAGUAAGGAUUCAACAAAUACGCGGCCAAGUGCAAUGGACUGUCCAGCUUAUCCUUCAUGUUGUUAUCAAUGAUCUCUAUGACAUUGUUGUAGAAAGCUAGAUUAACUGGCUUCUCAAUGUUCCGAAAGCCCACUUUGAGUUGUUCCUUUUCCUUUACAAUUUCUUCAUACAGAAAGGCCAUGGAUGGCUUUAUAUCACUAUCAAGGAUGCGAAGUACCUUGACCAAUGGAUCAAACACCCUUAAACAAAGUGCAACCCCAUUCCAAAAGUUAGGUAUUAUCAUUGCAGAUGUGGCUAGAACUCCUUUGCUAUUCUUCUUGAUGUGGCUUAAACAUAAGAAUUUGUCUCAUUCAUCACACUGAGUCAUUGCCCUUAGUUGCUCUCUCUUCACAUACAAGCUCUGCAAAGUGAGGACAUUGGAAGCAAAUCUAGUAACAUCAAGUCUCACAAUAUCUCUCUUCUUUGUGUGUUUCCUCAUGAAAGACAAGGUUCUAUGAUGUGAAUAGAUGAAGAUGGUCUAUGACUUAGCUUGAUCAAUGAAGCCUUUCAACUUCUUGAUCUUCCCCAUUCCUUCAAGCAUCAAGUUUAGGAUGUGAGUUGCACAUGAUGUCCAAAAUAUACUUGGCCGCUUCACAAAUAGCAAGUUCUUUGCUGCCAUGUUGUUUGAUGCAUUGUCUAUGACCACUUGCACAAUAUUUUCAGCACCCACUCAUUCAAUACAACCAUCCACAUACUCAAAGAUCAGUUGUCCAGUGUGUGACUCUUCAGAGAAUUCCUUUGAUUCAAGAAAAUUUGAGCCAAUGCUGUAGUGUAAACAGAGGUUCAUGAUGCUUCUCCUCUUCUGGUCAGUUCACGUAUCUGUCAUGAUGGAACAACCAUUCUUAACCCAUUCCUCUUCAUGCAAUUUCAGCAUCUUCUUUGUAUCAUCCACUUCUUCAAACAACAUUGUCUCACGCAACUGAUGCUGGUUUGGUUUCUUUCCACCAGGGCCAAACCGACUAGCCGCUUCUAUCAUUUGAUCAAACUCUAUAUUAUUGAUCUUGUUGAAAGCUACACCUGAAAGCAAAUCAAAAUCAUUAUAGAUCAGAUCAUUACUGAUAAGAAAGUAGAAACACAACAAGCAAUUCAAGGUUAGAACUUAGAAUGGAGAUAUCACCAAGCUGCAAGGUAUAUACUUAGAACUUACCAUGCAUAUAAACCUAUCUGGCAAUGUAGCGCUGCAAGCUAUGCAUUAUCUCCUUCCAUAUUACUUUAGUGAUUAAUUGCUGCCGGAUCACCUUUGUGUUGCUCAGUGAGGCUUGAUCAAGGGGCAUGCUAAACUUAUCCAUAUGCCCUAUUUUCCUAAUGGUCUUCCUCCAGCCCCAUGAAGCUCUUCUACUUCUGCCAUUGUAAUGUCGUCAUCAGCAUCCAGUGCACCAAGGUCCACAACAUCUCUAACCUCUUGCUGCUCAGUUAGCCUUACCUUUUUAACUUGCUUUGAGUCAUCUAUUUCUUUCUUGCACCUUUCUUUGUCCUCAUCUGUCAACUUUUUGCAAGGUUUAACCUGCACAGUUAAAAUGAAAAGGAAGUUCUAUUCCAUCUGCAAUCAGCCAAUCAUGUAGCAAGGAAUCUAAAAUCUUGCUUAAUUGAAUUAUAAAUCAUAUAUUAACCUGGCCACGGAUCCCAGCAAUAUGGAGCUUUAGUCUAUAUAUCCCUGCUGACACUUAGAGACCACACAACUUGCACUUGAUCAAAUUCAAGUUGGCUGGAUCCACCAAGACUCCAUAAUCCCACCCAAUGUCCUUAGAGUUCCUCUUCAGGCUUAUGGGUUUACUGGUUGAAAUAGAAGGAUUUGACGCAACAGAUGACAUCCUGCAAAUGAUAGAGCAGUCAAUCAAGCAUUAGCCUAGUAGCAGAUCAAUUUGCAUAGAGUAGUAGCAUAUAAACUUGCAAUUUGCAUAGAGCAGCUAGUCAAGUAGACAAUUAGUACUACAGACUACAAGAUGUAGCCAAUAAAGUAGUACUGCAAUAUGCACGGUAGCAGUGCAGCCAUAUCCCAUAUUUAAAUUAUUCAUGAAAUUAGUACAUAAAUAUCUUCUAAUUCCUAACUUGACAACUUGUACGUCGUACCUACUAGUGAGCACAGUACAAGCUAGGCAACAUCCAGUAGCUACUAGCUAGUGAGAAACUAAGCAUAUCACUGAACUAGGGAACAUCCAAUAGCUACUAGCUAGUGAGAAACUAAGUACACACACAUGGUUCAUGGAGAAACUAGUCACUAAACAUACGCACAUCUCUGAAAAUAAUCCAUCCGCACAUCACUGGAGAGUGUAGACUCAUGUAGUACCUGGAGGCUGCUGCGGUCGGAGACUUGGAGUUAGAGAACUCGGAGGAGGUUCACCAUGGCAAGCGCCAGCGCAACGCAGAGUGCGUGCGACGAGAUUGGUUGCGUCGGCACUUGCACAUGGAGUCCACAAGAGGGUCCAAGCCACGCCUUGCUACUGUUCCUAGACAGCACAUACACGGCCUUAUGGAGUGGAGGCACAACAGAUGUGCUGACCACCCGCGGCGGAUGUGCUGGCCGCCCACGACGAAUGUGCAGGGUUUGUGUGACGGCGACACCAGCCUAGCGGCGGAUGGAAAAGGAAACCUAAAUGCAAAAACGAAAUGGACCUCUCAUAUAUAUAUACACCUGCGAAUUGGGCCAAGAAUGGGCGCCAUUUUUGCCGCGUUUGUGGCCGGCCAAAAAUUUCACUCCGCGCGCAGGAGUUUUAUCAAUUGAACGGCCCGUUUAGCCGGCCCAGCUCCAUUUAGAACCGUUUCGUCUUGCCCAUUUUCAUUGUUUAAAGCCGUUUAAAUGGCCUGACCAUUUAUCUGACCGUUUAUGUGCUAAACAAACGGGAGGAUGUCAUUUUCAUUUUUUUGAACUGUUUAAACGGCCGUUUAGCCUGUUUAGGCGAACACUGCAGAUGGGAGGAGUUCGAAGAUUGAGUUGGAACCAGAAGUGGAGGCUAUGAUGGAUCUUCUCGAGAACUACCAGGAUGGUGACCUCACGAAGGGAGAGUUCUACCGCGGUCUAAGAGACAUGAGCAAAGGUAUGCUUGCAAAAUGCAUUAUGGUUCUAUGCAAUCAUGUUAAUGAUUGUGAAGAUGAGAAUGAGAGAUACAUAGAGCUUUGUGAUGCUUUGCGUAGGAAGAAUGAGAAGAUGAAAUGUUCUCUUGCUAGGUUGAAAUAUGGAAUUGCUCAUUUGAAGUCGCGUGCUUUAAAUCCUUGCAAUUCUUGUGAUGCCUUGCUUAGAAAGAAUGAUGAAUUGAACUCAUCUGUUGAUUGCUUGAAAUCUGAAAAUGACAUGUUGAAAUCCAAUAUUGGUAUGCCAUGUAAUUCAUGUGUUGCUUUGAAUAAUGAUCUUCAUAAGGCUAGAGAUGAAAUUGCUUUAUUGAAGACUAAUGCUACUUUGCCAUGUGUUUCAUGUGAGUCUUUGUUUGCUGAAAAUAAUGAAUUAAAAUUGACUCACACCACAUGUGUUGAACAACUUGAGCAUGCUAGAGCUAAAAUUUGUGAAAUGAAGUCUAUGCCUUGUAGCAUGUGCUCCUUGAUUCUUGAUGGCGAUGCUUCCCUUGCUUCUUGUGAUAAUCCUUGAUGUGAAUGAUGAUAAUUGUUCAUGCGGACCUAUUUGCACAUCAUGCAUUGAAUUGGAAUGCGAAGUUUUGGCUUUGAAGCAAAUGCACGAUGAUAUUAGCACCAAGUUGGUUAAGCACAAUGAGAUGAGUGCCAAAAGUUGAAUUCUUGUGUACCACAUAUGCUAAGUGCAUUGAAAAGGAGAUGGAUAAUUUGAGAAAUGCUCCAUGUGGUACUUGUGAUCGCCUCAAACAUGAAAAUGAGGUUUUGGCCACAAGAUGCAAGAGUCUUUGUACUAAGUCUUUUGAUUCUCGCAAUUCUUGUCAUUCCGAUGUUGGUGUUUCUAAAAUUGCUUCUUCUCAACCGGAGAUGGCUUCUUCUGUUGAGCGUGAGUUUUUGGAGUGUAGUACUUGUGCUAGUGCUUUGGAUAGCUCUUUUAUAGCUACUCCUUAGCUUGUUGCUUCUUCCGAUAUUGCUCAAGAUAAUUCAAGUGGCAAGGGUGCUUCUCACAUUUUUAGAACUCAUACUCCCAAACCGAAGUUCCAUUGCACCUUUUGUAAGAAAGACGGGCAUACCGUUGAGUUUUGCUUUCGCCAUGUCAAGUAUGAGCGACGUGGGCAUGCUAAAGCUUUUAAGAAGUCAGUUAGCCUUUCUCAUGGCAUGUGUGAACCUAAUGUGAGCACUAAGUCAAACGAUGUUGUUGAUGCUUCUUGCUCUAAGUCCCAGGACUUCUCACUUGAAUGAGAAUGGUGAUUCGUCUUCUCGAACCGUACCUCCAAAUAGGUCUUUGUACCAUUACUCUUAUUGUGAGAAAGAUGGGCAUCAAGAGGGCUUUUGUUAUCAUCGUUCAAGACAAAUGCGGCGAACUCGUGAUUCUAGGUCUUUGGUUGUUCAUAGCCCGUCUCAUGGCAUGAGCAUUUAUGAGUCCAGUAAGAAGCCACAUUUCAUUGAUGGAUUUUAUGAAUCCUUUUCUAGUGAGUUAGGUCAUGCACGUGGACAUGCUUCUAGUUCUUCUUAUGUUGGUCCACGACAUGGUUCUCAUGGUGCUUGUGUUGGUUCUUCUCUUAAUACCUCAGGGAAUCAUUGUCUUUUUGCUAGUGGUAGCACUCGUUCUUUUUCUCAAGUUGCUCCUUUGAGGCAUGGUUCCAAGGGUGUUCCAAAAUCUUCUCAUUUGAACCAGCAUUUGUAUCAUGCUAACCCACAUGAUAAGUUGAGUGCAUCUUUACCCGUGUGAUUAAGUUUUUGAUUCCCAAGUAUAUGCUUGCUAAUUCUUUAGGAUUCAAGACUCGGUCUUCUUUGUCCUCUCAUGUGUAGGUACGGGGAUGUGGAUGUAGAGUAUGAGCUCGAAGUGACUUGAUCUUUUGCUUGAGGUGAUCAAGGCUUGAUGGUUCUCCACACCUUUUGGAUGACCCUCGAGAGGGCUUUGUACACUGGUAUAGUGAGUUUUUUCUUUUUUUAUACUACUCAUUUGUGGACUUAUUGCAUGUUUUGCACUUGUAUCAUGCUGUGAAUAUAUCAUGGUAGGCUAGUCACCUUUUCAUGUUAGCAUGUGUGAUCUUUAUGUAUAUCUUAUUAUGCUAGCUUUGUAAUAUAUCUUGGUGGAUGAUCCACAUGAACAUUGUGCCUUGCUUUAGCUUAGUCUUCAUAUUGGGUAUGGCAUGUUGUUCAUUUGGUAUCAUUUUAGCUUAGUAUCUUUAUAUGGAUCCUUUGCACCUUGUUGACAUGUUUGCUUGCCCAACCUUUUAUUCAUAAAUGUUGAAUCAUGUUGCAAUAUUUUAAUUCCUCUCAUUGGCAUUAUCAUUGCAUUGUAUAGCAUGAAUUGAGCUUUAUCUUGCUUUUUGGCUUAUCUUGUCUUUGGAUUGCAUUUUGCUCCUUCCUUUGGAUUUUUUCUUCCUUUUAAUUGGUGUUGGAGGUUUUCUUUUGCCCCCUCCUUUAUCUAGCUUUUCUUUGCUAAGUGUCUUUGCUAAGUGACUUACUUUAGUUUUUGAUAUCCGAUUUUGAUCUUUUAAUUGGUAUGACAUUUGAUCUUCCAAUUGGAUUUCAUUUUCUUCAAGUGAUAUCAAUUUUUAAUCCUUCAAUUGGUAUCCCCUCUAUGGUACUCAAUUAGGAUCAUUUGUUGUUUUUCUUUUACCACGGAGAUUUUCCUAAAUUGAUUUGACCUCUCAUUAGCUUUCUUCAUUUUAAUACAAACCCCAUCUCUUUUAGCAUUGCAUUACAUUUGUACCAUAUUGCACCUUGUACACUUUGCACUAGAUGAGUUUCUCCUAUAUAUUCUUAGCAUUUCCUUAUGCUAUUUGUGAACUAGUGCAUUGGUUGUGAUUGCAUAGCAAUGUGUAAUUAUGCUCUUGAUGAUAUUGUCUUAUAAAUAUGAUGAGAUAGCUAUUUUUGAAUCCAAUGCUAUUUCUAAGCUAUAAACUUGACUUGCUUAUCACCUAUGAGCAGUUGCUUGGUUAUGCAUUGUUCUUGCUUGAAUGCUAGUUCCAUGUUUAGCUUUUGCUUGGAAUUCAUAUUCUUUUCAAUUGGAUCAAAAAUCUAGGUAUCAUUGCAAAUGUUUAGCCCAUGAUGCAUUUCUUGGGGAAGCAUGCCUUAUUUGUGCCGCAAAGGCACUUCAUGUACCUUGUUUUAUAUGAAUGAUGAAAAAUGAUGAUAAAAAAAUUCAGUAAUUCAUCAAGUUUUUGUGCUUAAUGUUGAUAUUCUUGCUUGCUUAGUUGUUACGAGAUAUCUACCAAAAGAAGUAGGCACUUGGUUUCAACAAACUUUCACAUGACUUGUGAUGCAUACGUGGGUAUUUGCAAUGAUCUCUUGUUGAGAAUGUAUCUUGCUUGAGUGAUUCAUGACUAGGUGCUUGCUUAUGUGGUGAUACUUUAUAAGCUGCAAAACUUGACAACUUGCUUCGUUUUUUGUUUAUUUCAUAAUAUCCUAUUGAUGGUGAUGCAAUUGAUCUUUAUGAUCUACCUGCUUGUGCAUUAUCUAACCUGUAGCCUUUGUAAGUGCUUUGUGAUAUUUGAGAAGCUUGUUAGGUUGUACACCUCAUGGCAUGAAUCUUGUGCUCCCAUGUGAAUCUUGAUGUUUGCAUUUAAGGGGAGUCUUGCAUUUAACAGGGAGUCUUGCAUUUGAGGGGGAGCAUGCAUUCUUUUGCUCUUGUGCAUGCAUUUAAUUGUGGCAUGUUUUUAGGAGGAGUGCAUGUUUUCAGGGGGAGUGCAUAUGUUCAGGGGGAGCUUAUGAGUUUUGUGCUCUCUUUUGCUUUUUUGCCGAUUGUGUUGAGCUUUUACCUCUUCUUGAGGAACCGGCAUUUGGUUUGAGCUUUCGAUCGUUACAUGAUUGGUAUUGAGCCCUUUCUUGAGGGCUCAUGUGUUUUCGAUCUUCACAUGAUUGGUUUUGAGCCCUUUAUGCCUCUUCAUGAGGGAUCAUGUGUUUCUUUAUAUUGGUUGUGUGGAGCCGUUGCCUAUGUCUUUAGGGACCGAGACUUUUCCAAGUUGAUUUGGCCUUUGUGAUGCUUCUCAUGCCAAGUGACUUUAAUCUUUACCUUUACAUGGCUUUCGAUCAUUUGGAUGAGAGUUUUGCCUAAUUGGUUUCACAACUUGGCUUUUAUGGCUCUUCUCAUCUCAAGUGACUUUGACCUUGGCUUUUAUUUGACUUUUGAUCACUUGGAUGAGAUUUUUGGCUUUUGCCUCUCAAACCAUUUCUUUGUGCUUGAAUGUUGUCAACACACUCAUCAAGAGGGAGUUUGAGAAAAUCAAGUUGAUAUGAACCUUGAUUUGAUUGUGAUGAGCAUUUGACAAAUGUUGAAAUAGCUUUGAUGGCAUUGUGGGAUUCAUGAAGCUUUUGUGCCUUUUGCUUGACUCAUCUUCGGUUGUGUUAAGCCUUUGUCUCUUCUUUGGGAACCUAGAGUUUUUUGUUUGGAGCUUGCAUGAUCCUUUCUCAUAUCAAGUUACCUUGUGUUUGCUUUUACUUGGCUUUUGGGCACUUGAAUGAAUUCUCUUUUGCUUUCAAAUCAUCUUUUGUCAAUGCACUUAUCAAAGGGGAGAUGGAGAGACCAAGUUGACAUGUGCCUUGGUCUAUUUGUGAUGAGUGAUUGACUGGAUGAUUUGAAACUUUUCUGAUUGAGUCAAUAUUUCAUAUGUGCAUGAUUAUGUUAACGGCUAACCGAAGAUGUUUUGUUGUGUGCGUUGAGUUGUGGUGUGUGUAAAACAUAUCUUGUGUGUUGUGUCUCUUGGCUUGUGAUGUGCAGGUGUAGGAUGCGACAUGGCGGAUGAGAUGAAGGUCAAGCGAAAGGUUCAUGCUGAUAUACUAAGGCUGUGAAGGGUGGACACGAGUAAGCUUGGACUGAGGGACUCGAGAAGUUCGAGCGGAGUCAUGGGCGAACCACAUAGUGCACGGAAGAGUAAGAGUAUACGGACGAGAUGGAGAUGGCGUCGGUUGAGUCAAGCGUGAUGGAGGCGAAUCGAGUAGGCGGCCCAGGAGCCGGGAGUAAAAUACUUGGAGGCGUCGAAAGCUUGGAGAUCGAACAUGCGUCGACAUUGGUGAGUCACAUCGUGCGCGGCGUGCAAGAGGGUUUGACCAGUUUGACCUCAAAAUCAGGGGUGAGUCACGGUCGCGAGGUGUGCAAGAGGGUUUGACCGGUUUGGCCCCAAAAUCGGGGGAUGAGUCAGGUGCGGCUGGACGGCGUCGAGUCGGAGGAUGCGUGGCACUAUCGCGAAGCUUGCGUCGAGGCGAAGCUAAGUCGUGAAGGCACUGGGUCUGUCCGAUGUACGAGAAAAAGGUUGGACGAUUUUACCCCUGGGGGUAUUUGGGUUGUAUGAUUAAUAUAAGAGCAUUUUGGACAUUUGCCAAAUGUCUAUGUACAUGAGGAGUGGUUGUUGGGGCAGCCACAUCUCUUUGGAGGUUAUGGGAGAGAGAGAGCUGAGUGAUCUUUGAUUUGAUCUUUUUGCCAUCUUAGCUUUGUUUGUGUCUAAAAGUGGCUUGUAACUAGACAUAGUGGAGUAAUCCAAGAAUCAAUUUCAUGUUCAAUUGCUUCUCCAUAUUAAGAUCUGAGUUUUAUCUUUUUCAGGAUUUUCGAAGGUAUUUUUGGGGAUUUUUGUUCUUCGCGUUUUGCUGCAAAAUCUGUGAGAUUUGUUGGAGUGUUUUGUUGCUAGGACCCUUGUGAGCAACUUUAAAGUAUUUUCCUCUUCCAAUCCCUCUCGGAUUUGGCUCGAUUAGGUUUUUCCUAAAACUCGUCUCCUCUUGUGUUCUUGGUCAAGUAUAUGAAAUUUAUGGUGAAAUCUUGAUCUUUUUGAAGAGAUCUUAUGGACAAAGAUUCAUUGUGUAUAUGUGAAGCUACAACUAUAGUUUUGUUCGCUUUGAAUCCCGUUUGACUUAUUUUCAAGUUUCAGGUCAUGGAGUUUUCUUGAGCUCUUUGUGCCCCUCUCCAAAUCUUUUGAAUUUGGUGACCAAUUCUUGUUCUUUUUGAAGUGAGCCUUUAGGAAUAGCCUUGGUAUGUUGUUGUGAGCCUACAGUUCAAAUUUCGUGAUUUUUGGAGGUCAUUUGAUCAAGUUUCGGAUUUUUCCAACUUCUUCAUGCAGGCUGUUUUGGAGUUGCGGAAAAUUCCGAAGAUUUUACAGAUUCUCCGAAGAAUUUUCCAGAAACUCUAUAGGUGCGAUUCUUUGGAGAUUUGUGUGGAUUCUCGAGAGAGUUUUGCGGAGUUUUCGUACUUUUUUGUUGGUUUUCGAAUCUCUUCUUCUGACACUUGCUUGGGUUCAUUCUUGCUUCCGUUAGUCUCUAAAUUAGUUCCUAGCACCAUUCCUAGGUCCAUUAGUUCUUGCCUAGCUAAAAGGACUUGAUAUUGCUAGAAGAGAGAUUUGUGGAUUGGUUUGGGAUUCAAGUCGAGGUUCUUCAAAAAAAUUUGAAUCGACUCUCAUUCACCCCCCUCUAGUCGUCCAUCCCGAUCCUUCGUCAACCCUUGAC